This 471-nucleotide ribosomal RNA is filed under the name Triticum aestivum (bread wheat). RNAcentral describes it as "partial small subunit ribosomal RNA". Lineage: Eukaryota; Viridiplantae; Streptophyta; Magnoliopsida; Poales; Poaceae. The record is from RNAcentral.
AUGCAGAAAUCCUCCAUCUACUUUGGCAAGGGUUGUGGGGAUGAGCUGAAGGAUGAGCUUAAAGGUGAGAUUGGUAUUUCUUCCGAAGCCCUGAGUGAGAGAUAUCUUGGGCUGCGUACUCAAGUGGGCAGAUCCAAAGAAGGUACUUUCAAAUUUGUCACACAGAGCUCUAAGGGCAAGGUCACGGGCUGGAAGGGACAAGGCAUGUCAAAGAAAGCCCGGGAAGUCCUAGUCAAAUCAGGACUCCAAGCCACCCCCACUUUCACCAUGAGUUGUUUCCACCUCACAAAGAAAAUGUACCGGAAUCUGACUUGUAUUUCUUCUAAAUUCUGGUGGGGUGCGAUGAACGGUGAAAAGAAGGUGCAUUGGGUCUCGUGGGAGAAGAUGUGUGACUCGAAGCGUGCGGGAGGAAUGGGUUUCUGUGACCCUGAAAUGUUCAACCAAGCUCUCAUGGCGAAACAAGCAUGGUGA